GUUUAGCUCAGUUGGGAGAGCAUCUGCCUUACAAGCAGAGGGUCAGCGGUUCGAGCCCGUUAAC
RNAcentral lists this transfer RNA (64 nucleotides) under Eubacterium sp. AM18-26. Its description in RNAcentral is "tRNA-Val". It matches the Rfam family "tRNA", at positions 5 to 66 of the family's 71-position model. Rfam says of the family: Transfer RNA (tRNA) molecules are approximately 80 nucleotides in length. Lineage: Bacteria; Bacillati; Bacillota; Clostridia; Eubacteriales; Eubacteriaceae. The record is from RNAcentral.